CUCAUAUAUAAGCAAGGACAAGAAGGAAGUUGCUCUCUUUCUCUUCAUCCUGCUCUCUUCUCUACAGAGCUGUCAUUUGAUCCCAGGAAGAGGACACCAGCGGAAGGCAUCCUUGAUAAGGCCUCGAUUGUGUUUGGCCCCAGCAGAGACAAAGCUACCCCUGAGCAGAGGCUACCCCCAGCUGACACAGCAAUCCUGUCCGAAGAUUUAUAAGGACCUUUGAUGUAUUUCUUCAACAACUGGAAUCACUGUUGCCAAAUAAAGGGUCAGUUAAUCGGAUAAUUCUAAUUCUGUAUUUUGAUCAAGAUCUUGCUUUCC
This 318-nucleotide long non-coding RNA is filed under the name Cricetulus griseus (Chinese hamster). RNAcentral describes it as "lncRNA (ENSCGRG00015030208.1)". Lineage: Eukaryota; Metazoa; Chordata; Mammalia; Rodentia; Cricetidae. The record is from RNAcentral.